Long non-coding RNA from Mobula hypostoma (lesser devil ray), 1011 nucleotides. RefSeq lists it as uncharacterized. Lineage: Eukaryota; Metazoa; Chordata; Chondrichthyes; Myliobatiformes; Myliobatidae. The transcript has 3 exons. The record is from RefSeq and is a predicted model, not a curated record.
UGGAAUCACAAAGAUAUUUUUCAGCCUGGUUAUUUUCUUGGGUUAAGCCAUUAUGAGGAGCAGUACCAAAAGGAUACAGUUGAACUCACUAAGGAUGGCCAUAUGAAAUGAUGGAAGAGACGUCAGAUGGUCAUGUGACUGUCCCUGCAUGCUGACAUUUAACAACGAUGACACACGACGGGCAAUGGAGUCUGUCAGCUGCACAGAGUUGGCAGUAGGUUUGGAUGGAUCACCAAGGAUUCUCCAGAGGCAUAAAGCUCGACUAUCAAGGGUAAAUUCUAGCCGCUGUUAUGAUUCUAAGGAUAAAGCCUAGACGAUCUGCAGCUGUCUAGUGGGAGAUAUUUCUGCGAGUUCUUGUGAGACAUGCUGUACCCCAUUUGCAAAGGAAUCUGCAUCUUUUAUAUUUGCCUCAUCAGUCAUCUCUGAACCUACAUAACUAGAGGGAAAUGUCAUCCUGCCGCUGCUACUGUGUGAUCUCCGGAGGGGAAGGACCCAAAUCCUCGGCUUUGCCUGUUACUGGCAGCUGGGGCUGGGGUCGAAGCGCUCGGCAGGGAUGGUGCUUGGUGCUCGGUGUCGGAGGGCUGGUCGGAGGCUCAAAGUUUUUGGACAGACUCAAGAGUCGGCUGUGGUCGGGUGCUUCAAGGGUGUUGCAUUGGCAAGUUUGCAGCGCUGGAAGCUCAUGGUAGUGAGAGUUUUCUUCCUUUUACCGUCUACGUGAGAUAAUGGGACUUUCAAGAGACUUUGAGACUUUAUUUUUACCAUGCCCAUGGUCUGUUCUCUAUCAAAUUAUGGUAUUGUUUGCACUGUUGUAACUAUAUGUUAUAAUUAUGUGUUUUUUGUCAAUUUUUCAGUCUUGGUCUGUCUUGUGUUUCUGUGAUAUCACACUGGAGGAACAUUGUAUCAUUUCUUAAGGCAAAGGCAUUACUAAACGACAAUAAAAGAGGACUGCAUGCCCUCAUAAUCUAAUCUAAUCUAAUCCUUAAUCCCAAUAGGCAGCCAACAAAGAAAACU